Molecule: transfer RNA, 71 nt
Filed under: Pseudomonas phage phiK7A1
Lineage: Duplodnaviria; Heunggongvirae; Uroviricota; Caudoviricetes; Vandenendeviridae
Rfam family: tRNA
About the family: Transfer RNA (tRNA) molecules are approximately 80 nucleotides in length.
Source: Rfam by way of RNAcentral
GCUCGAUUAGUUCAAUGGUAGAACGGGGUCUUUACACGGCCUUUACGGAAGUUCGAUUCUUUCAUCAAGCA